AGUGAACGCUGGCGGUAGGCCUAACACAUGCAAGUCGAACGGCAGCACAGUAAGAGCUUGCUCUUACGGGUGGCGAGUGGAGGACGGGUGAGGUAUACAUCGGACUCUACUUUUAGAAGGGGAGUAAACUGGGGAAAAUACUGCAAAUACGCCCUUGCACCACGGGGGGAAUUGGGGGGAUCUUGGGGCUUUGGAUGUUCGAGUGGCCCAUUGUCGGGUUGGUUGGUUGGCGGGGUACCGGCUCACCAAGGGGCCGGUCGGCAGCGGGUCUGAGAGGCUGAUCAGCCACACUGGAACUGAGAGACGGUCCAGACUCCGACGGGAGGCAGCAGUUGGUAAUAUUGGACAAUGGGCGGAAUCCUGCUCCAGCCAUACCGGGUUGGUGAAGCAGGCCCUCGGGUUGUAAAACCCUUUUGUUGGUAAAGAAAAGCAGCAGCUUAAUACCCCGCUGUUCUGACGGUACCCAAAGAAUAAGCACCGGCUAACUUCGUG
RNAcentral lists this ribosomal RNA (492 nucleotides) under uncultured bacterium. RNAcentral describes it as "partial 16S ribosomal RNA". It matches the Rfam family "Bacterial small subunit ribosomal RNA", at positions 29 to 507 of the family's 1533-position model. The record is from RNAcentral.